GUGGGACCAAUGAUUGGGGUGAAGUCGUAACAAGGUAGCCGUAUCGGAAGGUGCGGCUGGAUCACCUCCUUUCU
RNAcentral lists this ribosomal RNA (74 nucleotides) under Pseudogracilibacillus auburnensis. RNAcentral describes it as "partial 16S ribosomal RNA". It matches the Rfam family "Bacterial small subunit ribosomal RNA", at positions 1462 to 1533 of the family's 1533-position model. Lineage: Bacteria; Bacillati; Bacillota; Bacilli; Caryophanales; Bacillaceae. The record is from RNAcentral.